Molecule: ribosomal RNA, 384 nt
Filed under: Acidithiobacillus ferrivorans
Lineage: Bacteria; Pseudomonadati; Pseudomonadota; Acidithiobacillia; Acidithiobacillales; Acidithiobacillaceae
Description: bacterial LSU rRNA
Rfam family: Bacterial large subunit ribosomal RNA
Source: RNAcentral
GUAGCCGGUCCCAAGGGUAUGGCUGUUCGCCAUUUAAAGUGGUACGUGAGCUGGGUUUAAAACGUCGUGAGACAGUUUGGUCCCUAUCUGCCGUGGGCGUUGGAAGUUUGAGGGGGGCUGCUCCUAGUACGAGAGGACCGGAGUGGACGUAUCCCUGGUGUACCGGUUGUGACGCCAGUCGCAUCGCCGGGUAGCUAAAUACGGAAGAGAUAACCGCUGAAAGCAUCUAAGCGGGAAACUUGCCUCAAGAUGAGACUUCCCAGAGACUUGAUCUCUCUAAAGGUUCGUCAAAGACGAUGACGUUGAUAGGCUCGGUGUGGAAGCGCAGUAAUGCGUUGAGCUAACGAGUACUAAUUGACCGUGCGGCUUGAUCCUAUAACCUUA